This 402-nucleotide ribosomal RNA is filed under the name uncultured prokaryote. RNAcentral describes it as "bacterial SSU rRNA". It matches the Rfam family "Bacterial small subunit ribosomal RNA", at positions 355 to 774 of the family's 1533-position model. The record is from RNAcentral.
UGGGGAAUAUUGGACAAUGGGGGAAACCCUGAUCCAGCCAUGCCGCGUGAAUGAUGAAGGCCUUCGGGUUGUAAAGUUCUUUUGGUGGGGACGAUGAUGACGGUACCCACAGAAUAAGCUCCGGCUAACUUCGUGCCAGCAGCCGCGGUAAUACGAAGGGAGCUAGCGUUGUUCGGAAUUACUGGGCGUAAAGGGCGCGUAGGCGGUUUGACAAGUCAGAUGUGAAAGCCCAAGGCUUAACCUUGGAAUUGCGUUUGAGACUGUCUUUCUUGAAUUCGGGAGAGGUGAGUGGAAUUCCCAGUGUAGAGGUGAAAUUCGUAGAGAUUGGGAAGAACACCGGUGGCGAAGGCGGCUCACUGGACCGAUAUUGACGCUGAGGCGCGAAAGUGUGGGGAGCAAACA